This is a non-coding RNA of Phrynosoma platyrhinos (Desert horned lizard), 72 nucleotides long. The record is from the annotation of a GenBank genome assembly. NCBI's taxonomy places the organism in Eukaryota, Metazoa, Chordata, Lepidosauria, Squamata, Phrynosomatidae.
UAUUCUGUAGUUUAAUGGUUUGAGUGUCAGACUAUGACUUUGAAGACCAGAGCUCAAAUCCCUGCUCAGCCA